This is a long non-coding RNA of Oreochromis niloticus (Nile tilapia), 1001 nucleotides long. RefSeq lists it as uncharacterized. NCBI's taxonomy places the organism in Eukaryota, Metazoa, Chordata, Actinopteri, Cichliformes, Cichlidae. The transcript has 2 exons. The record is from RefSeq and is a predicted model, not a curated record.
CUGCUCAUUAUCGAUCAGUCAUGUUUGAUUUUUGUGACGACAUGUGACGUGUGCAGCCGAUCACGCAUGUCGAUUAUCGUCAGGUAGAUUGGCACGGGAAGAAUUUAACGUGCAGUAAGGUGUCCGGUAGGUCAGUCACGUGGCUGCAGCUUACAGGUGUUUUACCUGAGGCAGUUCACAUUAAAGGACUGCCCUAAUUACAGGCCGGGCUGAUGACGUCAGAGCAGUUUUGCUUGAGUCACAGUUCAGAGUGAUUCUCUGUCUGAUCCUGAGCUUCCAUCCAACCUCUGGAGCACACUGUGCAGGAACAAAAUAUAAAAGUAGACAACAGGAAUAAAUAAGAGGAGGAAUAUGUACAGAAACAACAGGAAGGCCCACAGUGGAGAGCAAAGUCAAAGUCAGCCAGUGUGUGAGUGACCUGAGUGAUGAGGGUCACUCACACACUGGCUCAUAGUGGGCAGGGUGUGGGUGGGUGUCCGAGUGGCCCAGGGAAAGAAACUGUGAGUGAGUCUGGAGGUGUGGGACCUGACUGACUUGAGGCGCCCACCAGAGGUCAAACAGGUGGUGGGCGGGGUCGGCUGUGCUCUGGUUUACCUGAGACAGAAGGAUCUGGCGAUGGCCUCCAGGGGUGGCAGAUGACAGCCAGUGCUUUUUUGGGUGGUGUUAAUGACUGUCUGCACCGCCUUCCUGUUCUCAGUUGUGGCCCCUGAGCACCAAACACCAGGCAGGAGGAGAGCACGCUCUCCACUGAGCAGCAGUAGAAAGCCAGUAGCAGCUCCUGGUCCAGAUUCUUUUUCCCAGGACACCGAGGACGUGCAGGCGCUGCUGGGCCUCCUUUACCAGGGCGAUGGUGUUGUAGGUCCAGGUGGCUCAGCGCUCUGUGAAGGGUGAUGGCAUCCUCUGUGGGGUCGAGGGAGGGAGUGGACAGUCUGUGAUGUGUGAGACACUACCCACUCGAAACACUAGAUGACGACAGAUGUGAGGGGACGUGAGAGGAAGCA